This 89-nucleotide transfer RNA is filed under the name Actinostachys pennula. RNAcentral's name for it is "tRNA-Ser". It matches the Rfam family "tRNA". Rfam says of the family: Transfer RNA (tRNA) molecules are approximately 80 nucleotides in length. Their secondary structure includes four short double-helical elements and three loops (D, anti-codon, and T loops). The record is from RNAcentral. Lineage: Eukaryota; Viridiplantae; Streptophyta; Polypodiopsida; Schizaeales; Schizaeaceae.
GGAGAGGUGGCCGAGAGGUCUAAAGCGAUGGAUUGCUAAUCCGUUGUACACAAAAGAUUGUACCGAGGGUUCGAAUCCCUCUCUCUCCC